RNAcentral lists this ribosomal RNA (253 nucleotides) under uncultured bacterium. RNAcentral describes it as "partial 16S ribosomal RNA". It matches the Rfam family "Bacterial small subunit ribosomal RNA", at positions 524 to 776 of the family's 1533-position model. The record is from RNAcentral.
UACGUAGGGGGCAAGCGUUGUCCGGAUUUAUUGGGCGUAAAGAGCGUGUAGGCGGCUAGGUAGGUCCGUUGUGAAAACUCGAGGCUCAACCUCGAGACGUCGAUGGAAACCAUCUAGCUAGAGUCCGGAAGAGGAGAGUGGAAUUCCUGGUGUAGCGGUGAAAUGCGCAGAUAUCAGGAAGAACACCCGCGGCGAAGGCGGCUCUCUGGUACGUGACUGACGCUGAGACGCGAAAGCGUGGGGAGCGAACAGG